ACGGAGGGUGCAAGCGUUAAUCGGAAUUACUGGGCGUAAAGCGAGUGUAGGCGGCAACGUAAGUCGGAUGUGAAAUCCCCGGGCUCAACCUGGGAAUUGCAUUCGAUACUGCGUAGCUAGAAUCUGACAGAGGGAUGUGGAAUUCCGGGUGUAGCGGUGAAAUGCGUAGAUAUCCGGAGGAACACCAGUGGCGAAGGCGGCAUCCUGGGUCAAGAUUGACGCUGAGGCUCGAAAGCGUGGGGAGCAAACAGG
This 252-nucleotide ribosomal RNA is filed under the name uncultured bacterium. Its description in RNAcentral is "partial 16S ribosomal RNA". It matches the Rfam family "Bacterial small subunit ribosomal RNA", at positions 525 to 776 of the family's 1533-position model. The record is from RNAcentral.